ACGCUGGCGGCGUGCCUAAUACAUGCAAGUAGAAUGCUGAAGAGAGGAGCUUGCUCUUCUUGGAUGAGUUGCGAACGGGUGAGUAACGCGUAGGUAACCUGCCUUGUAGCGGGGGAUAACUAUUGGAAACGAUAGCUAGUACCGCAUAACAAUAGGUGACACAUGUCAUUUAUUUGAAAGGGGCAAUUGCUCCACUACAAGAUGGACCUGCGUUGUAUUAGCUAGUAGGUGAGGUAACGGCUCACCUAGGCGACGAUACAUAGCCGACCUGAGAGGGUGAUCGGCCACACUGGGACUGAGACACGGCCCAGACUCCUACGGGAGGCAGCAGUAGGGAAUCUUCGGCAAUGGGGGCAACCCUGACCGAGCAACGCCGCGUGAGUGAAGAAGGUUUUCGGAUCGUAAAGCUCUGUUGUAAGUCAAGAACGAGUGUGAGAGUGGAAAGUUCACACUGUGACGGUAGCUUACCAGAAAGGGACGGCUAACUACGUGCCAGCAGCCGCGGUAAUACGUAGGUCCCGAGCGUUGUCCGGAUUUAUUGGGCGUAAAGCGAGCGCAGGCGGUUUGAUAAGUCUGAAGUUAAAGGCUGUGGCUCAACCAUAGUUCGCUUUGGAAACUGUCAAACUUGAGUGCAGAAGGGGAGAGUGGAAUUCCAUGUGUAGCGGUGAAAUGCGUAGAUAUAUGGAGGAACACCGGUGGCGAAAGCGGCUCUCUGGUCUGUAACUGACGCUGAGGCUCGAAAGCGUGGGGAGCGAACAGGAUUAGAUACCCUGGUAGUCCACGCCGUAAACGAUGAGUGCUAGGUGUUGGAUCCUUUCCGGGAUUCAGUGCCGCAGCUAACGCAUUAAGCACUCCGCCUGGGGAGUACGACCGCAAGGUUGAAACUCAAAGGAAUUGACGGGGGCCCGCA
Molecule: ribosomal RNA, 910 nt
Filed under: uncultured bacterium
Lineage: Bacteria
Description: bacterial SSU rRNA
Rfam family: Bacterial small subunit ribosomal RNA
Source: RNAcentral